AUGAACGCUGGCGGCGUGCCUAAUACAUGCAAGUCGAGCGAACAGACGAGGAGCUUGCUCCUCUGACGUUAGCGGCGGACGGGUGAGUAACACGUGGAUAACCUACCUAUAAGACUGGGAUAACUUCGGGAAACCGGAGCUAAUACCGGAUAAUAUAUUGAACCGCAUGGUUCAAUAGUGAAAGACGAUUUUGCUGUCACUUAUAGAUGGAUCCGCGCCGCAUUAGCUAGUUGGUAAGGUAACGGCUUACCAAGGCGACGAUGCGUAGCCGACCUGAGAGGGUGAUCGGCCACACUGGAACUGAGACACGGUCCAGACUCCUACGGGAGGCAGCAGUAGGGAAUCUUCCGCAAUGGGCGAAAGCCUGACGGAGCAACGCCGCGUGAGUGAUGAAGGUCUUCGGAUCGUAAAACUCUGUUAUUAGGGAAGAACAAAUGUGUAAGUAACUAUGCACGUCUUGACGGUACCUAAUCAGAAAGCCACGGCUAACUACGUG
RNAcentral lists this ribosomal RNA (496 nucleotides) under uncultured bacterium. RNAcentral's name for it is "partial 16S ribosomal RNA". It matches the Rfam family "Bacterial small subunit ribosomal RNA", at positions 29 to 507 of the family's 1533-position model. The record is from RNAcentral.